This 497-nucleotide ribosomal RNA is filed under the name uncultured bacterium. RNAcentral describes it as "partial 16S ribosomal RNA". It matches the Rfam family "Bacterial small subunit ribosomal RNA", at positions 28 to 507 of the family's 1533-position model. The record is from RNAcentral.
GAUGAACGCUGGCGGCGUGCCUAAUACAUGCAAGUCGAGCGAACAGACGAGGAGCUUGCUCCUCUGACGUUAGCGGCGGACGGGUGAGUAACACGUGGAUAACCUACCUAUAAGACUGGGAUAACUUCGGGAAACCGGAGCUAAUACCGGAUAAUAUAUUGAACCGCAUGGUUCAAUAGUGAAAGACGGUUUUGCUGUCACUUAUAGAUGGAUCCGCGCCGCAUUAGCUAGUUGGUAAGGUAACGGCUUACCAAGGCAACGAUGCGUAGCCGACCUGAGAGGAUGUUCGGCCACACUGGAACUGAGACACGGUCCAGACUCCUACGGGAGGCAGCAGUAGGGAGUCUUCCGCAAUGGGCGAAAGCCUGACGGAGCAACGCCGCGUGAGUGAUGAAGGUCUUCGGAUCGUAAAACUCUGUUAUUAGGGAAGAACAAAUGUGUAAGUAACUAUGCACGUCUUGACGGUACCUAAUCAGAAAUCCACGGCUAACUACGUG